ACGUACACUCCUGCGGGAGGCAGCAGUGGGGAAUAUUGGACAAUGGGCGCAAGCCUGAUCCAGCCAUGCCGCGUGAGUGAUGAAGGCCCUAGGGUUGUAAAGCUCUUUCACCGGUGAAGAUAAUGACGGUAACCGGAGAAGAAGCCCCGGCUAACUUCGUGCCAGCAGCCGCGGUAAUACGAAGGGGGCUAGCGUUGUUCGGAUUUACUGGGCGUAAAGCGCACGUAGGCGGACUAUUAAGUCAGGGGUGAAAUCCCGGGGCUCAACCCCGGAACUGCCUUUGAUACUGGUAGUCUUGAGUUCGAGAGAGGUGAGUGGAAUUCCGAGUGCAGAGGUGAAAUUCGUAGAUAUUCGGAGGAACACCAGUGGCGAAGGCGGCUCACUGGCUCGAUACUGACGCUGAGGUGCGAAAGCGUGGGGAGCAAACAGGAUUAGAUACCCGAGUAGUCCC
RNAcentral lists this ribosomal RNA (451 nucleotides) under uncultured organism. RNAcentral describes it as "partial 16S ribosomal RNA". It matches the Rfam family "Bacterial small subunit ribosomal RNA", at positions 329 to 797 of the family's 1533-position model. The record is from RNAcentral.